GACGAACGCUGGCGGCGUGCUUAACACAUGCAAGUCGAGCGGAAAGGCCCUUUCGGGGGUACUCGAGCGGCGAACGGGUGAGUAACACGUGAGUAAUCUGCCCCUGGCUUUGGGAUAGCCACCGGAAACGGUGAUUAAUACCGGAUACGACCACUUCUCGCAUGGGAUGGUGAUGGAAAGUUUUUCGGCCAGGGAUGUGCUCGCGGCCUAUCAGCUUGAUGGUGAGGUAAUGGCUCACCAUGGCUUCGACGGGUAGCCGGCCUGAGAGGGUGGCCGGUCACACUGGGACUGCGACACGGCCCAGACUCCUGCGGGAGGCAGCAGUGGGGAAUAUUGGACAAUGGGCGGAAGCCUGAUCCAGCAACGCCGCGUGAGGGAUGACGGCCUUCGGGUUGUAAACCUCUUUCAGCAGGGACGAAGCGCAAGUGACGGUACCUGCAGAAGAAGCACCGGCCAACUACGUGCCAGCCGCCGCGGUAA
This 480-nucleotide ribosomal RNA is filed under the name uncultured bacterium. RNAcentral's name for it is "partial 16S ribosomal RNA". It matches the Rfam family "Bacterial small subunit ribosomal RNA", at positions 28 to 523 of the family's 1533-position model. The record is from RNAcentral.